Podarcis lilfordi (Lilford's wall lizard) is the source of this 1751-nucleotide non-coding RNA. The record is from the annotation of a GenBank genome assembly. Lineage: Eukaryota; Metazoa; Chordata; Lepidosauria; Squamata; Lacertidae.
GACAAAUACAGAAGUAAUCUUCAAAGAACUAUUUGUACUAUUUGGAAUUUCUUAAGUAUUUAAGCCUUAGCUUGAAGAACCACCUGGAAAGAAUAUAUAGCUUGCAUCCUGGACAUUAAGCUCAGGCUAUAAAUAUUCCUAAUAGGUUUUUCAACAUUUCCCUUUAUCCCCCAGAGAAGAAGAAAAGAAACCUGUCAUUCUUAGCUAUCAGGUAUCUUUUUUAUUUUAAAAAAUGGUGCUGCUUGCCACAGCCUUUUGUAAGUUCCUUUAUUUAUGCCUUCCUGUGUGUUUGAUUUCUUCUUCUAAGAAUUUUAAUUGCACGGGGAUCAUAGUUAACUAGUCUUUUUGCUUAUUACAUCAAGAUAGAAUAGAAAUAGGGAAAUUACAGCUACGUUGGGAACGAGGGUAGGAGGAGACCAGCAGCACUUCCUAUUAGCCAAGAAGCCACUGCAUUAGGGUUGCUUCCAUGGCAGCAGCAGAAGCAGGCAAUACAUUUGUUGGAGGCUGAAUCUGCUGCCCCAUGGAUCCUGCUGCCUGAGGCAAUCACCUCACCUUGCCUCAUGAGUGGACUGGCCCUGGGUAUCUUGCUUAUUCCACUACUGUCUUUAAAGCACAAAUCAAAGUGUUGGUGCUGACCUUUAAAGCCCUAAACGGCCUUGGUCCUGUAUACCUGAAGGAGCAUCUCCACCCCCAUCGUUCAGCCCGGACACUGAGGUCCAGUGCUGAGGGUAUUCUGGCGGUUCCCUCAUUGUGAGAAGUGAGGUUACAGGGGACCAGAAAGAUGGCCUUCUUGGUAGUGGUGUCCGCCCUGUCGAACCCCCUCCCAUCAGAUGUUAAGGAAAUAAGCAGCUAUCCUAUUUUUAAAAGACAUCUGAAGGCAGCCCUGUUUAGGGAAGUUUUUAAUAUUUAAUGCUGUAUUGUUUUUAACACUUGAUUGGGAGCUGCCCAGAGUGGCUGGGGAAACGCAGCCAGAUGGGUGGGGUAUAAAUAAUAAAUUAUUAUAUUAUUAUUAUUAUAUAAACUGUUUUUUUUUUUUACGUGAGCCAAUUUGAUCCCAAAUAGAUCUGUGGAAAAUAGCGUAUUUAGAAGGAGAACUACUUGAAAAUGAUUUACAGAUGGUAUUUCACUCCGAGUAGGCUUGCUAAGAUGUAGAAGACUGAAUCAGAUAAGUGCUGGAGAUGCAAAGAGGUGGAGGGAACGUUCUUCCAUAUGUGGUGGACUUGUGAAAGGGUAAAAGAGUAUUGGGAAAUGAUCCAUAAUGAAUUGGGGGAAAAUGCUUAAAAGUACUUUUCCAAAAAACAACAACAUCAGAGUCUUUUCUGUUGGGGAUAAUUCGGACUGAAAUUACCAGGUGUCAAAAAGGUUAUUUAUGUAUGUUACUACUGCGGUCCAUGUUUUGUUAAUGUUUUGUUGAAUGGAAAGCGAGCGAGGUCCCAACCAAAGAAGAAUGGCAACUUAAGUUGACAGAACAUGAGCAGCUUGCAGACUUAACCUAUAGAAUAAGAGAACAAGAGGAACAUACUUUUAGAGAAGAUUGGAAAACCUUUAUUGAAUAUGUGGGAAAUAAUUUUGUACAGCCGAAAACCCUGGCAGCAUUAAGAAAAAUUCAACAGUGUAAAUAAGCUUUGAUGGAUGCAAUAAUGGAAUACUGAAUGGUAUAGGUUUUGAAAAGUAUGCAGGGAUUUAUGAUAUGUAAAAUGAACCAUGGAAAGAGAAGAAGGGAAGUCACUGCUUUUUAAGGAUGUAAAAUG